GACGAACGCUGGCGGCGUGCCUAAUACAUGCAAGUCGAGCGCAGGAAACUGACGGAACUCUUCGGAGGGAACGCAGCGGAAUGAGCGGCGGACGGGUGAGUAACACGUAAGGAACCUGCCUCAAGGAUUGGGAUAACUCCGAGAAAUCGGAGCUAAUACCGGAUAGUUCAUCGGACCGCAUGGUCCGUUGAUGAAAGGCGCUCCGGCGUCACCUUGAGAUGGCCUUGCGGUGCAUUAGCUAGUUGGUGGGGUAACGGCCCACCAAGGCGACGAUGCAUAGCCGACCUGAGAGGGUGAUCGGCCACACUGGGACUGAGACACGGCCCAGACUCCUACGGGAGGCAGCAGUAGGGAAUCUUCCACAAUGGACGAAAGUCUGAUGGAGCAACGCCGCGUGAGUGAUGAAGGUUUUCGGAUCGUAAAACUCUGUUGUAAGGGAAGAACACGUACGAGAGGAAAUGCUCGUACCUUGACGGUACCUUACGAGAAAGCCACGGCUAACUACGUGCCAGCCGCCGCAGUAA
RNAcentral lists this ribosomal RNA (524 nucleotides) under uncultured bacterium. Its description in RNAcentral is "partial 16S ribosomal RNA". It matches the Rfam family "Bacterial small subunit ribosomal RNA", at positions 28 to 523 of the family's 1533-position model. The record is from RNAcentral.